CCUACGGGUGGCAGCAGUAGGGAAUAUUGCGCAAUGGGGGAAACCCUGACGCAGCAACGCCGCGUGGAGGAUGAAGGUUUUCGGAUUGUAAACUCCUUUUGUUAGAGAAGAUAAUGACGGUAUCUAACGAAUAAGCACCGGCUAACUCCGUGCCAGCAGCCGCGGUAAUACGGGGGGUGCGAGCGUUACUCGGAAUCACUGGGCGUAAAGAGCGCGUAGGCGGGAUAGCAAGUCAGAUGUGAAAUCCUAGGGCUUAACCAUAGAACUGCAUUUGAAACUGUUAUUCUAGAGUAUGGGAGAGGUAGGUGGAAUGCUUGGUGUAGGGGUAAAAUCCGUAGAGAUCAAGAGGAAUACUCAGUGCGAAGGCGACCUGCUAGAACAUAACUGACGCUGAUGCGCGAAAGCGUGGGGAGCAAACAGGAUUAGAUACCCGGUAGUC
This 439-nucleotide ribosomal RNA is filed under the name uncultured bacterium. RNAcentral describes it as "partial 16S ribosomal RNA". It matches the Rfam family "Bacterial small subunit ribosomal RNA", at positions 338 to 795 of the family's 1533-position model. The record is from RNAcentral.